Molecule: non-coding RNA, 82 nt
Organism: Mycena vulgaris
Lineage: Eukaryota; Fungi; Basidiomycota; Agaricomycetes; Agaricales; Mycenaceae
Source: the annotation of a GenBank genome assembly
GUCACUAUAGCUCAGUGGUUGAGCAUCCGAUUGCAAAGUUGCUGUUAUCGGGCGGUCCCGUGUUCGAUCCACGGUAGGGACU